AUCUCGCCUCAGUUAUUAACAUUGAUUGUGGCUGGUACCUAGACAUUUCUAUUGGUUAAAAUUUAGGGUUAGGUUAAGUCAUAUUUUGCAUUAACCAACAUACAUCAUGAAAAUGCAUCGAUUCACAAAAAAAUUAAUUAUGAUUGGUUGAAGCAGAAACUGAGCAAAACAAAGAGAAAGGAUACGAUCUUUCACGUCAAUCAAUAAUUUGUAGAUUUUUCUUGUUU
This 227-nucleotide long non-coding RNA is filed under the name Carica papaya (papaya). RNAcentral describes it as "long non-coding RNA (CPAP_LNC006242)". Lineage: Eukaryota; Viridiplantae; Streptophyta; Magnoliopsida; Brassicales; Caricaceae. The record is from RNAcentral.